GGCGAACGCUGGCGGCGUGCCUAAUACAUGCAAGUCGAACGCUUUUUCUUUCACCGGAGCUUGCUCCACCGAAAGAAAAAGAGUGGCGAACGGGUGAGUAACACGUGGGUAACCUGCCCAUCAGAAGGGGAUAACACUUGGAAACAGGUGCUAAUACCGUAUAACACUAUUUUCCGCAUGGAAGAAAGUUGAAAGGCGCUUUUGCGUCACUGAUGGAUGGACCCGCGGUGCAUUAGCUAGUUGGUGAGGUAACGGCUCACCAAGGCAACGAUGCAUAGCCGACCUGAGAGGGUGAUCGGCCACACUGGGACUGAGACACGGCCCAGACUCCUACGGGAGGCAGCAGUAGGGAAUCUUCGGCAAUGGACGAAAGUCUGACCGAGCAACGCCGCAUGAGUGAAGAAGGUUUUCGGAUCGUAAAACUCUGUUGUUAGAGAAGAACAAGGAUGAGAGUAGAACGUUCAUCCCUUGACGGUAUCUAACCAGAAAGCCACGGCUAACUACGUGCCAGCAGCCGCCGUAA
RNAcentral lists this ribosomal RNA (523 nucleotides) under uncultured bacterium. RNAcentral describes it as "partial 16S ribosomal RNA". It matches the Rfam family "Bacterial small subunit ribosomal RNA", at positions 28 to 523 of the family's 1533-position model. The record is from RNAcentral.